RNAcentral lists this ribosomal RNA (253 nucleotides) under uncultured bacterium. RNAcentral describes it as "partial 16S ribosomal RNA". It matches the Rfam family "Bacterial small subunit ribosomal RNA", at positions 524 to 776 of the family's 1533-position model. The record is from RNAcentral.
GACGAAGGCUGCAAGCGUUAUCCGGAAUUAUUGGGCGUAAAGAGUACGUAGGCGGCCUGUCAAGUCCCGGGUUGAAUCCCGCAGCUUAACUCCGGAUCGGCCUUGGAAACUGGCUUGCUGGAGUGUGGUAGUGGUAGCGGGAAUUCCUGGUGUAGCGGUGAAAUGCGUAGAGAUAAGGAAGAACACCUGUGGCGAAAGCGCGCUACUGGGCCAUGACUGACGCUGAGGUACGAAAGCUAGGGGAGCAAAAGGG